This 459-nucleotide ribosomal RNA is filed under the name uncultured bacterium. RNAcentral describes it as "partial 16S ribosomal RNA". It matches the Rfam family "Bacterial small subunit ribosomal RNA", at positions 338 to 795 of the family's 1533-position model. The record is from RNAcentral.
CCUACGGGAGGCUGCAGUGAGGAAUAUUGGUCAAUGGGCGGGAGCCUGAACCAGCCAAGCCGCGUGAGGGAAGAAGGUACAGCGUAUCGUAAACCUCUUUUGUCAGGGAACACAGGCGGGGACUAGUCCCCGGAUGAGGGUACCUGAAGAAAAAGCAUCGGCUAACUCCGUGCCAGCAGCCGCGGUAAUGCGGAGGAUGCGAGCGUUAUCCGGAUUUGUUGGGUUUCAGGGGUGCGCAGGCGGCCGGUAACGACAGCGGUAAAAGCCCGGGGCUCAACCCCGGCGAGCCGUUGAAACUGGCGGGCUGGAGUGGGAGAGAAGUACGCGGAAUGCGCGGUGUAGCGGUGAAAUGCGUAGAUAUCGCGCAGAACCCCGAUGGCGAAGGCAGCGUACCGGCUCCACACUGACGCUGAGGCACGAAAGCGUGGGUAUCGAACAGGAUUAGAUACCCUAGUAGUC